This 1831-nucleotide long non-coding RNA is filed under the name Apis florea (little honeybee). RNAcentral describes it as "uncharacterized LOC116414767". The record is from RNAcentral. Lineage: Eukaryota; Metazoa; Arthropoda; Insecta; Hymenoptera; Apidae.
UCUAUAUGUUAUUUGCAAUAACUAAUAUCUGUAUAAUUUAUUACAUAUAUAUAAUUCUUUCAAAGAAUUUUUGGGACAAGAAUUGAUUGUUCAAAGAACUACUAUCCUGAUCUUAUAAGGACAACAUGUCACGUGGUUUUGCAAUGGAGGGGAUGCCAUUCUACGUAUAUGAAACGAAUCGAGCAAACCAGUCGCUUUUUCACAAUAUCCAGGUAACAGCCCGAGGGUGACAGUAUCCAGCAUCCUCUUCCAGAUGAACGCGGGCAAAUGGAAUACAAACAAGCGUGACAUACUGAUACAUUCCUGGUAAUAUUGAAACACGAUGAGAUGUCGUAAACGCAAGAAGAUGACAGAAAAUCGAUUGAACGCCUUCCAGAUCUAAACUGACUUUUCUGUUAUGAUUCUUCGUCGCUUUCUUUAGUACUUGAGCAAACAUAGUAAUAUGAUGCUAGCCUGAUAUUUUUCAGAUGUUGUAUGUCUUAUUGCUGUCUUUGUUCAUAUCCGAUACUAUGUAUCAAAAAAAUAUCGAGUCACAAUAAUAUGUAUUGGUGAAUCGGAAACUAUUACCAUCUCCGAUACUAUCCUGUUACGUUAACACGUCAUAGUCGUCAUAUCUCGACAGUUUGAUGUGAAAUCGAUAAAAUAUAUUAAAAUGUAUUUUUUGUGUAUGUAUAUAUAUAUAUAUAUAUAUAUAUAUAUGUUCUUUUUUUUAGAAAUUUUAUAGAAAUAUAUACUAUUAUAUUUAAAGAAGUAACAAUAAAUAUUGAGUAAUGUAAUUGAAAGAAGCGAUAAUAGUUAAUUAUGAAAGAAGAACGCAUGGGAACUUAUGGGAAGUAAUUGUAAUAUUUAAUCUACUUAAUCAAAUAUAGAUAUAUAACUUCUAUCUAUCUCUUAUUAACAAAUAUAGAAGAAAUUAAAAAUAAAACAGCUCAGAAAGAUGCGUAAGAUUAUUAACUAUUAUUAUAAAAAGAAACGAAAUCUUUAGCAGAAAUAAAUCUAUGAAUUUCAACGAACACGUUUGCGUGUUUCAGUAUCGAUUUAACGUCAGUUUCAUGUCAUAAAGACGUCAAACACACCGUUUUCACCAGGACAACAUCCCCGACUUGAAUUUACGACCGCCAGCGAGCAACAGGUUUCGCGGGAACAAAUUUUCUCACACAUAGAAGUAGCUAUAUUUAAAUGGAAUCUGAGGCUACUACCUGUUGCUUUUGAUCGUAAAUCUACCCUCGGGCUGUAAUCCUGGUAGGUUAGUCUCAGAAUGACGUCAUUGACGAUCUUCUGACGGACAAGUGACACUUAUUGAUGUUUCUCUUCAAUCUUUUAACCGAAUGAAUUGCAAUUUCUUCCAAAGAAAAUAUUCUUAUUUUCUGAACGAAUACAAUGAAAUUUAGACGAAUACAUGGAAAGCAGCCCUUGGUUGGCGGGAAAGCCAUAAAUUCAUCUACUAUCCCUCGUUACUACCCUAGUAACUGUGAGCUUUCGUGACAUCACGUAACGUUUCGUGACGAGCACUUUGACAUAUCCGAUAGCUUCUAUUUAUAAAAGUCAUAGACAAGAUACUACGUUCAAUAUCUGCUAGAAUUAUCUUUUAAGGAGAAAAAAAGAAAUAUAUAAUGGGUAUAAGGAUCGAUACGCUGACGUGGCGUCUAAUAUGUAAAUAAAUUCCUCAAACAUCUGCUAGUAUCCUGAUGUAAGCAAGUUACUUGUACCACUGUGACGAAUAGAUGACUGACACUUCUCUUUUUCAAAUUCUUGGAUUUCUUCUUGUUAAUAUUUAGAAAAUGUUUUCAAUAUGAAACAUUAUAAAGUAUUAUAAUUAAAGAAAAGAAAU